This 467-nucleotide ribosomal RNA is filed under the name uncultured Tepidiphilus sp. RNAcentral's name for it is "bacterial SSU rRNA". It matches the Rfam family "Bacterial small subunit ribosomal RNA", at positions 910 to 1382 of the family's 1533-position model. The record is from RNAcentral. Lineage: Bacteria; Pseudomonadati; Pseudomonadota; Hydrogenophilia; Hydrogenophilales; Hydrogenophilaceae.
UUGACGGGGCCCGCACAAGCGGUGGAGCAUGUGGUUUAAUUCGAAGCAACGCGAAGAACCUUACCAGGUCUUGACAUCCCCUGACAACCCGAGAGAUCGGGCGUUCCCCUUCGGGGGACAGGGUGACAGGUGGUGCAUGGUUGUCGUCAGCUCGUGUCGUGAGAUGUUGGGUUAAGUCCCGCAACGAGCGCAACCCUUGCCAUUAGUUGCUACGAAAGGACACUCUAAUGGGACUGCCGGUGACAAACCGGAGGAAGGUGGGGAUGACGUCAAGUCCUCAUGGCCCUUAUGGGUAGGGCUUCACACGUCAUACAAUGGUCGGUACAGAGGGUUGCCAACCCGCGAGGGGGAGCUAAUCCCACAAAGCCGAUCGUAGUCCGGAUCGCAGUCUGCAACUCGACUGCGUGAAGUCGGAAUCGCUAGUAAUCGCGGAUCAGAAUGUCGCGGUGAAUACGUUCCCGGGUCUU